This 253-nucleotide ribosomal RNA is filed under the name uncultured bacterium. RNAcentral's name for it is "partial 16S ribosomal RNA". It matches the Rfam family "Bacterial small subunit ribosomal RNA", at positions 524 to 776 of the family's 1533-position model. The record is from RNAcentral.
UACAGAGGGUGCGAGCGUUAAUCGGAAUUACUGGGCGUAAAGCGUGCGUAGACGGUUAUUUAAGUCGGGUGUGAAAGCCCCGGGCUCAACCUGGGAAUUGCAUUCGAGACUGAAUAGCUAGGGUACGGUAGAGGGAAGUGGAAUUUCCGGUGUAGCGGUGAAAUGCGUAGAUAUCGGAAGGAACAUCAGUGGCGAAAGCGGCGACCUGGACCGAUACUGACGCUGAGGUGCGAAAGCGUGGGGAGCAAACAGG